GAUGAACGCUGGCGGCGUGCCUAAUACAUGCAAGUCGAGCGAACAGACGAGGAGCUUGCUCCUCUGACGUUAGCGGCGGACGGGUGAGUAACACGUGGAUAACCUACCUAUAAGACUGGGAUAACUUCGGGAAACCGGAGCUAAUACCGGAUAAUAUAUUGAACCGCAUGGUUCAAUAGUGAAAGACGGUUUUGCUGUCACUUAUAGAUGGAUCCGCGCCGCAUUAGCUAGUUGGUAAGGUAACGGCUUACCAAGGCGACGAUGCGUAGCCGACCUGAGAGGGUGAUCGGCCACACUGGAACUGAGACACGGUCCAGACUCCAACGGGAGGCAGCAGUAGGGAAUCUUCCGCAAUGGGCGAAAGCCUGACGGAGCAACGCCGCGUGAGUGAUGAAGGUCUUCGGAUCGUAAAACUCUGUUAUUAGGGAAGAACAAAUGUGUAAGUAACUAUGCACGUCUUGACGGUACCUAAUCAGAAAGCCACGGCUAACUACGUG
Molecule: ribosomal RNA, 497 nt
Filed under: uncultured bacterium
Lineage: Bacteria
Description: partial 16S ribosomal RNA
Rfam family: Bacterial small subunit ribosomal RNA
Source: RNAcentral